This 264-nucleotide ribosomal RNA is filed under the name Escherichia coli. Its description in RNAcentral is "partial 16S ribosomal RNA". It matches the Rfam family "Bacterial small subunit ribosomal RNA", at positions 419 to 681 of the family's 1533-position model. Lineage: Bacteria; Pseudomonadati; Pseudomonadota; Gammaproteobacteria; Enterobacterales; Enterobacteriaceae. The record is from RNAcentral.
UGGGUUGUAAACUGCUUUUAUAAGGGAAUAAAGUGAGUCUCGUGAGACUUUUUGCAUGUACCUUAUGAAUAAGGACCGGCUAAUUCCGUGCCAGCAGCCGCGGUAAUACGGAAGGUCCGGGCGUUAUCCGGAUUUAUUGGGUUUAAAGGGAGCGUAGGCCGGAGAUUAAGCGUGUUGUGAAAUGUAGAUGCUCAACAUCUGAACUGCAGCGCGAACUGGUUUCCUUGAGUACGCACAAAGUGGGCGGAAUUCGUGGUGUAGCGG